UUCGGGAUGCCGGCGAGUGGCGAACGGGUGCGUAACGCGUGGAAACCUGCCCUGAGAUGGGGGACAACAGCUGGAAACGGCUGCUAAUACCGCAUAAGCCCUACGGGGGAAAGACGCAAGUCGUCUUGGGAGGGGUCCGCGUCGGAUUAGCUUGUUGGCGAGGUAAUGGCUCACCAAGGCGAUGAUCCGUAGCUGGUCUGAGAGGACGAUCAGCCACACUGGGACUGAGACACGGCCCAGACUCCUACGGGAGGCAGCAGUGGGGAAUACUGCGCAAUGGGGAAACCCUGACGCAGCGAUACCGCGUGGGUGAAGAAGGUCUUCGGAUUGUAAAGCCCUUUCAGUGGGAAAGAUGAUGACGGUACCCACAGAAGAAGCUCCGGCUAACUCCGUGCCAGCAGCCGCGGUAAUACGGAGGGGGCGAGCGUUGUUCGGAAUUACUGGGCGUAAAGGGCGCGUAGGCUGUUUUGCAAG
RNAcentral lists this ribosomal RNA (474 nucleotides) under uncultured Magnetococcus sp. RNAcentral describes it as "bacterial SSU rRNA". It matches the Rfam family "Bacterial small subunit ribosomal RNA", at positions 79 to 587 of the family's 1533-position model. Lineage: Bacteria; Pseudomonadati; Pseudomonadota; Magnetococcia; Magnetococcales; Magnetococcaceae. The record is from RNAcentral.